Molecule: ribosomal RNA, 497 nt
Filed under: uncultured bacterium
Lineage: Bacteria
Description: bacterial SSU rRNA
Rfam family: Bacterial small subunit ribosomal RNA
Source: RNAcentral
AUUGAACGCUGGCGGCAUGCCUUACACAUGCAAGUCGAACGGCAGCAUGGGUGCUUGCACCUGAUGGCGAGUGGCGAACGGGUGAGUAAUGCAUCGGAACGUACCCGGAAGUGGGGGAUAACGUAGCGAAAGUUACGCUAAUACCGCAUAUUCUGUGAGCAGGAAAGCGGGGGAUCGCAAGACCUCGCGCUUCCGGAGCGGCCGAUGUCGGAUUAGCUAGUUGGCGGGGUAAAGGCCCACCAAGGCAACGAUCCGUAGCGGGUCUGAGAGGAUGAUCCGCCACACUGGGACUGAGACACGGCCCAGACUCCUACGGGAGGCAGCAGUGGGGAAUUUUGGACAAUGGGCGCAAGCCUGAUCCAGCCAUGCCGCGUGAGUGAAGAAGGCCCUCGGGUUGUAAAGCUCUUUUGUCCGGAAAGAAAAGCAAUCGGUUAAUACCCGGUUGUUCUGACGGUACCGGAAGAAUAAGCACCGGCUAACUUCGUGCCAGCAGCCGA